Long non-coding RNA from Haliotis rubra (blacklip abalone), 149 nucleotides. RefSeq lists it as uncharacterized. The record is from RefSeq and is a predicted model, not a curated record. NCBI's taxonomy places the organism in Eukaryota, Metazoa, Mollusca, Gastropoda, Lepetellida, Haliotidae. The transcript has 4 exons.
UGGGUCUUUGAAGUGAAAAUCUACGCCAUUCCUCGUGUAAAGCAGCUUCCAAUUGGGCCAGGUUCUGUAAAGGAGGAUCCCAUUGUUGCACACCACGACCAAUCAUGUCCGAGAUAUGAUCUAAGGAGUUAAGAUCGGGGCUCAUUCAA